RNAcentral lists this ribosomal RNA (576 nucleotides) under uncultured bacterium. RNAcentral describes it as "partial 16S ribosomal RNA". It matches the Rfam family "Bacterial small subunit ribosomal RNA", at positions 355 to 926 of the family's 1533-position model. The record is from RNAcentral.
UGGGGAAUUUUGGACAAUGGGCGAAAGCCUGAUCCAGCAAUGCCGCGUGUGUGAAGAAGGCCUUCGGGUUGUAAAGCACUUUUGUCCGGAAAGAAAUCCUUGGCUCUAAUACAGUCGGGGGAUGACGGUACCGGAAGAAUAAGCACCGGCUAACUACGUGCCAGCAGCCGCGGUAAUACGUAGGGUGCAAGCGUUAAUCGGAAUUACUGGGCGUAAAGCGUGCGCAGGCGGUUUGCUAAGACCGAUGUGAAAUCCCCGGGCUCAACCUGGGAACUGCAUUGGUGACUGGCAGGCUAGAGUAUGGCAGAGGGGGGUAGAAUUCCACGUGUAGCAGUGAAAUGCGUAGAGAUGUGGAGGAAUACCGAUGGCGAAGGCAGCCCCCUGGGCCAAUACUGACGCUCAUGCACGAAAGCGUGGGGAGCAAACAGGAUUAGAUACCCUGGUAGUCCACGCCCUAAACGAUGUCAACUAGUUGUUGGGAUUCAUUCCUUAGUAACGUAGCUAACGCGUGAAGUUGACCGCCUGGGGAGUACGGUCGCAAGAUUAAAACUCAAAUGAAUUGACGGGGUCAUAGCU